Glossina fuscipes fuscipes is the source of this 230-nucleotide non-coding RNA. Lineage: Eukaryota; Metazoa; Arthropoda; Insecta; Diptera; Glossinidae. The record is from Rfam.
GAUAAGCGUGUAAGACAGAUUGAGAAGCUCUUUCUCGAAUUAAUGGAUGGCGGUGCAUGGCCUGAUUCGUGGACCGACUUGUCUGGUUAAUUGCGAUAAUAAACGAGACUCAAAUAUGCUUUCACGAUUACGGUGUUGGAGCUUUUAUAGCUUUCAUUUGCGGGCACAGUGGAAUGUGCUACGCGUAGCAAUAAUAAAAUUGACCAAUAACAGAUCCGUGAUGAACUUAG